RNAcentral lists this ribosomal RNA (411 nucleotides) under uncultured bacterium. Its description in RNAcentral is "bacterial SSU rRNA". It matches the Rfam family "Bacterial small subunit ribosomal RNA", at positions 954 to 1364 of the family's 1533-position model. The record is from RNAcentral.
GCACAACGCGAAGAACCUUACCAGGCCUUGACAUGCAGAGAACUUUCCAGAGAUGGAUUGGUGCCUUCGGGAACUCUGACACAGGUGCUGCAUGGCUGUCGUCAGCUCGUGUCAUGAGAUGUUGGGUUAAGUCCCGUAACGAGCGCAACCCUUGUCCUUAGUUACCAGCACGUUAUGGUGGGCACUCUAAGGAGACUGCCGGUGACAAACCGGAGGAAGGUGGGGAUGACGUCAAGUCAUCAUGGCCCUUACGGCCUGGGCUACACACGUGCUACAAUGGUCGGUACAGAGGGUUGCCAAGCCGCGAGGUGGAGCUAAUCUCACAAAACCGAUCGUAGUCCGGAUCGCAGUCUGCAACUCGACUGCGUGAAGUCGGAAUCGCUAGUAAUCGCGAAUCAGAAUGUCGCGGUG